CAGUAGCCGCGGGAAUACGAAGGGGGCUAGCGUUGUUCGGAUUUACUGGGCGUAAAGGGCGCGUAGGCGGACUGAUAAGUCAGGGGUGAAAUCCCAAGGCUCAACCUUGGAACUGCCUUUGAUACUGUUUGUCUUGAGUUCGAGAGAGGUAAGUGGAACUGCGAGUGUAGAGGUGAAAUUCGUAGAUAUUCGCAAGAACACCAGUGGCGAAGGCGGCUUACUGGCUCGAAACUGACGCUGAGGCGCGAAAGCGUGGGGAGCAAACAGGAUUAGAUACCCGCGUAGUCCCUGUCUCUUAUAC
Molecule: ribosomal RNA, 301 nt
Filed under: uncultured bacterium
Lineage: Bacteria
Description: partial 16S ribosomal RNA
Rfam family: Bacterial small subunit ribosomal RNA
Source: RNAcentral